Molecule: long non-coding RNA, 1646 nt
Organism: Scatophagus argus
Lineage: Eukaryota; Metazoa; Chordata; Actinopteri; Scatophagidae
Exons: 3
Source: RefSeq, a predicted model, not a curated record
AGGUGGCAUUUGCCGUUAAAGGACAGCGGAAGUAUUGAGAAACCGGAAGGUUACGAGGGGCUACAGGUGUUGUUGCCCCGGGAAGCUUAAAGUUUUUGACCGUGAUCAUGGCGGAAAAGGAGCUAAAAUGCAAUAUGUGUUAAACUGAACAUUGUUGUUGUAAAUAAAAGAAGCAAGAAAACCACGGAGAUUGUAAAUCAUCUGUAGUCAUUUCGUGUCAGAUACGUAAAGAAAAGCCAGUGGCGCGCCUCAAUUAUACGCCGGCCCGGCUACACCAAGCGGCUUAUUGGAAAGCCGUUACACAAAAGCCAAAAAACUGCUUCUAAGAACAUUGAAACGUAUCGACACGCUUAGCCAGCAAGUGACGGUUGUUGGAGGUUCCGUGCAUUGGAUCAAUAACUCGUUUGCGGCGAACGUGCUGCGGGAUUAGGACGCCGACUCGACGGAUCUGGGUUGCGGCACGGCAGACAUCCGACAGGACGCCGACGGGCUUGCGGGAGGCGGUGGACGCCGACUGGAUCGCGGAAGGCGGUGGACAGGACGUCGAAUCGCCAGAAUGGAACUCAGUGGCGGCCAUGACUCUGGACUCAGCAGGACCGGAUUGGACGCCGAUCAGCUGUGAGUCUUCCUCACGAGAGCGUCAGCUUUCCACUGCCUCUGUUGUGAUUUUCUACUGAUAAUCAAGGGAUGGAGAAAAGAAAGUCUUCGAUCUGCAGCAGGCUGUAGCAGAGCUAAGCAGAUGGCAGGAGAAUGAAAACACCUUGAGGAGACGACAGAAGGAGGAACAACUGAGAGAAGAGAAGCGAGGCCUUGAAUGCAGCACUGAAAGAGAGGGUCUAGGCUCUGGAGACCAGUUAAAACAACAGUCCGAGCAAUGAAAAGCUACUUUCAUCUGGACUACACAUCCAGUUCCCACCACAAGCUUAGGUAUCAGUGUGUGGGACAUGAUGGAGAGGGCACCGCAGUGUGUAUAAAGCCGACCAUCUGGCAUCAUAAAAAAAAGCUGUGAACACUGAGGCCCCACAGAGUAUCCAUCACACGAGACAAACACAAGCAACUUUGAAUAGUAAUUGUCAAGACUGGCUUGUGUGUUUGUUUCAACAGAACUUUCUGCCAGAAGAAGCAUAAAUGUGUGAAAUCCGAGCUUUUGAUUAUCAUAUAUCACCAUUUCCAGGACAGGUUGAUAUGAACAUUUUGUGCACCUGCUCAGAUCAACAUGUCCUUUACAAGCUGAAUUUCCUAACACAGUAUUUGCAUCCCCGUUUGCUCCCAAACCUUUAGAAGUGAUAGCUCAACAUUACUGGAAAGACACUUUAUUUUGGCUGUAUUUUGGCUUUAGAUGAGAAGAUUGCUGCCACUUAAGUCAUUAAAUAUGAAGCCAGUCAGUUUGCUUUGCUUAGCAGAAAGACUUUCCAGAGAUGAUAAAAUCCACCUAGUAGCACCUCCAAGGCUCACUAAUUAACACAUUAUACUGUCUGUGUUUAAUCCUUACAAAACCAUUGUGUAAAUAUGACAAGUUGUGGUUUUAUGGGGUGAGGGUGGGGUUAGGUGCCAGACUUUCUGGGCCAGAAGCGUCAUCGAGUUCCAGCUUCUUCCAAAAUAUGAUGAUGUGUUGCUUUUCUCUGUUGUCUAUUAUUGUACUUAGA